This 22-nucleotide non-coding RNA is filed under the name Rattus norvegicus (Norway rat). The record is from RNAcentral. Lineage: Eukaryota; Metazoa; Chordata; Mammalia; Rodentia; Muridae.
UGAGUGAUGCAGAAUCUAGCAU